Molecule: long non-coding RNA, 420 nt
Organism: Drosophila nasuta
Lineage: Eukaryota; Metazoa; Arthropoda; Insecta; Diptera; Drosophilidae
Exons: 2
Source: RefSeq, a predicted model, not a curated record
AUGAUAGAAACACAGCUGGAAGCCCAUUUUCGGCUUAUGGAAUGUUUUCAACAACUACAAGUUUUGAUAAAAAAUAUUUUAUACAAUUUCUACGUAAUUUUGGUAACAAUUUCGUGUGAGCAUUCUGUCGAUGUUGAGAAAUUUAAGAUAUUUUGUGAGAUUAGAUAACUGUUAUACAUUAACAGAAGCAAGAAAUAAGUUUUAUAAAAGCGACCGGAAAUCUCAUGCUCAAAAGAAUAGCGGAUUAAACAAAAUGCCCAUUAAUAUCCAGCAUAUGUUAAGCGAAAGGAAAAUGUGGAUUCGGACUAUGGCAACGAUUCACCAAAGAAAAAAAAUCCGAAAUACUAAAUUAAUAUUUCACAUUUCUCUCCGCUCCGCCGAUCGAAAAGCACUCAAUACUUUUUUGUUCCAGUGAUCUCA